Molecule: long non-coding RNA, 3300 nt
Filed under: Taeniopygia guttata (zebra finch)
Lineage: Eukaryota; Metazoa; Chordata; Aves; Passeriformes; Estrildidae
Description: lncRNA (ENSTGUG00000019024.1)
Source: RNAcentral
GGAAAUAAAAUAUGGAGGCAAAAGCAACAGACACCAGUUUGGUAGAGCCUGACAGAACUGCAGGAAGGAAACUGAGCCUAACCACUAAAAGAAAAACAACAGUUAGAAAAUCAGAUCAGUUAAUAAUAUAUUUUGGUUUGCUUUUUUCAAUGCAUGAGAUUUUACCAUGUUUAUGUAGUGUAGCAAAAGAAAUGCAGAGACUGAGACAUACAGUGAAGAUCAGAAGAGAUAAGUAAGCAUGAAAUGAGAUCAGCAGGCAGUCUGGACUGCUACAAGUGAUCAGAUAAGUGCAUACAAAACCCAGACAUCUGCUUUUGUGGUACAGGGUAAUGGAAAGGGCACUUCAUAAAUGCUUAAGUUUUUCCUUUAGAAAAGCUCCCUCCAGAAUCAAAGAAUUAUAGAAAAUCAUAGCAAUACAGGAAAAUGUAGGCGUGAACUGACCUCUAAAGGUCUGUUGUCCAACCUCCUACUAAAAGUAGGGGUAACUUCAAAGUUAGAUGGGUUCUUAGGGCCUCAUCAGCAUCCAUAGCAUAUAAAAUAAUAAUAAAGUCAGCAGGCAGAAACACAGUGCUCAUGGGAAACAGAUAUUUGAGAUUAAACUAUUCUCAUUAUAAUAAAACUACUUUGUGUGUCAUUAGAAAAUAAUUGAGUACAAGAAAUAAUUGACUACUGCUAGCUUGCAAUAUUUGUAAAUUCUGGAUGAUACAUUACUGAAGUGUACGUGUUUAAUAAUUUUAUUCUAUACUUUUAAGGUUUUACAUUAUUUCGAAAUUAUACUCAAUUUUUGAGCUAGCAAUUUUUAUUAUUUUUUCAGAAGAACUAGGGCUAGAGAAAUUCCUAUGUUUCUCACAAAGACUGUCCCCUAGGCUGUGUUCCCCUGGCAUUGUCUAUCAGUUUGUUUCAGGGAAUAUGUUAAAAAAAAAUCACAUACCUGUUCUAGGUACAUGCUGUAGGACACUAUAUAUAUUUCAAUAUAUAUUAUUGCCAUCUGGAAAAUAAUAAGUAGCAUGCUCAUUCUACUUUGCUCCAGAAAACCUAAACCUUUGCAUGAAGGAAUUAAAAACUGCUCUUAUGUUGUUCAUCUGUUGCUGAGAACCAAGAUAUUUAGGAAUUCAUUAUUUUGCUUUCACUAAUGUCAAAAAAAUCCUCUCGUUGACCUCAGCUGAGUGAGGUUCAGGGCUUGUCUAUAUUAAUGCAUGUACUAGAAAUGCUAUUUUUCCAAUAUAUAUAUUUCAUAGUUUUCUAGUUUUAUUUUACUAAUAACAUUGUACAAUUGUAGGUAUGACAAAUUACAGCUAGAAAGACUUCAAUUUAGGAGUCAUAAUUGUAUGCAUUCUGUUAAUAUUUCAUGACUGGGGUGAUUUAACAUUUGUACAUUGAUGGAUGACAUUCUUGCCAGAACUACAUAGGAACUGAGGACAAAAGAUAAAAUUAGAAGUAUUGCAGCUUUAUUACAACAGAUGAUUCUGUGGAAAUGGGCUUUUAGAUCUGAAAUCAAAUAUAAUUAGAAGCUUUCAGCUCUUGCAGAAAAUCCAUACUGAUUUUCAUCUUUCUCUCUUGAACAAAAGCUAUAUGUGUUUCUUUAAAUAAGAUUUAAUGUUCAACAUUAGAGAAAUGACAACUCAAAUGUCUUUUUUAGCUAAUUUAAAACUUCGCUUCUUCCUAUUGACAACUACUGUGUGUUUAAAUAAACUAAACCUGUAACAGAGAAAAGUGAUUUAUCUAAAAACUGGAUAUCAACUGGGGAAAAACAGUGAUUUUGGUAAUUUCUUUGGGUUUUUUACAUUUGGUAACUAAAACCAGAAGAAGCUAUACAGAGCAGGCGUGCAUACACACCUAUUUCUUGCAUUUGACCUUCCUUUCAUACUUCUCUUUGCAAUCUGCACUGUACAUUCCAUUAAGCCACAGUUCUGCAAAUACAGAAGUGAAUCCACAGCCACAUCUGCAGAUUAGCUUUUAGUUUAACAUUCUCUUUUCAGAGAGGGUAAUGGAGCUGACACUGGGGGCAGGCACUGUGCAUACUUGUGUUUUUAUACAGUACUCAACUUAAUGAGGUUCUAAUCCUGAUGAACCAUCUAGAUGCAGUUAAAGUAUGAAAUAAUUAUUAAUGGAAUUCCAUUAAAUUCCUUCCUUGUUCUCCUUAAAUGAUUGCUCAGAAGAUCGUCCAGUUAGAGAAAUCAAAGUCCUAAGAACCUAACUUUUUGCAUUACAUGCAACAGAAGUUCUGUUUUGCACUGUAAAAUAUGAAUACAUGUCUUCAAUAACUCAAGCCUCAAUAUCUGGAGGGGCUGACUAUAACUCAGUAAUUAGAUACAUUUAACAAGGACACCGAUGGUUAAAAUAGGGUUUGUAUACUUAGCGAUCAUGACUAUUAACUGGACUAGAGUGUGUAUUCUGGUGCACCUGAACAGAGGGACACCUGCACAAAAUUGGCACUCAGUCUAAUUAUCCAGGGUCCAUCAUACUUCGUAUUUAUGCACCCAAGUGACAGUGACUACUCUUUCUCAGCUCCUACUGAAGUUAGUGGUAUCAGAUGCACAUUUAUAAAGAUCACAUUAUUUAUGUGUCUGGACAGAAAGACUAGCUAUUGGAGUAAAAAUUUUGGCACAUGUACCUUAAAUGUAUAAAACAUUUUUGAAACUGAUCUCACCAACUUAUUUUAACCUACAAUAUCCUCACCUAUGCAAUCCUUAAAGUAGGAAUUCUUGCCAUUUUCUUACAGUUGUGCUUAAUUAAAUAAUUUUCAUUCUUCACUCUUUUUAAUAACCCUCUUUUGAGUGUGGCAUGACAUCCUGCCAGUAGAGUUAUCAUCAGUGUGCUUAAGAUCAAUACAGAUAGGACAAACUCUGUGUACAUGCCAGAUUCAGUGUAGGUAGUGAAAAAGCUUUUUGUGACUUUCAUAAAUUGCAAUAUCCACAAACAAGAGAUCCACCUCUAAGUCAAACUUCCUGCCUACGACAAAAUCUCCUCCUGUAUCUGUAGAGAAAAAACCCUUCAAUCUCUAUUUUCUGGAUUGUCAUGUUCUAGCAAGCAAGAUUAAUCUAUGUAUAAUGGGAUGCAGAUAAAGAAAGUCUCUACCUGUAGUCCAUGGCUUUAUGGUCCUGGAAUAUUUUGACCUCUCAGUCCUGUGGAGGGAAGGGGAGGGUGUUAAGCUCUCAAACCGAAUGCUUGCAUGUUUCCCACCCGCUUGCUUUCCACACCUAGGUAACGAGCUGGGGCCUAAGUAAUCCUAUUUUGAGAAAAUAUUUCUUGUCAACAUAGUGUUCUGUUUCAGGAAUAUCUGUAUGGUUGCAUAGCCCC